RNAcentral lists this ribosomal RNA (143 nucleotides) under uncultured eukaryote. RNAcentral describes it as "partial 18S ribosomal RNA". It matches the Rfam family "Eukaryotic small subunit ribosomal RNA", at positions 1299 to 1458 of the family's 1831-position model. The record is from RNAcentral.
UGGUGGAGUGAUUUGUCUGGUUAAUUCCGUUAACGAACGAGACCUCGACCUGCUAAAUAGUUUGGCAAACUCUCCUGGGUUUGUACAACACUUCUUAGAGGGACUAUCGUGCGUGUAGCCGGUGGAAGUUCGAGGCAAUAACA